UACCACUGUAUUUGAGAAUGGCCACAUUAAGGUUGGUGAGGGAGUGUCACGGAUAAUAUUUCUCCUCUGCAUAUUUGUAGCCUCCCCAUUUUAAAGCUAUCUAAGCUUCAGACCAUCCCAGUAUCAUUUGGCAGCAGAUUCCUCAAGCUAACCUCACUUUACAUGCUGAAGGGCUUUUUUUUUUGGGGGGGGUGUUUACUCAUUUCUUGUGGCACUGACUUAAAACAGGACAUUCAUCUUUCUUUCUUUCUUUCUUUCUUUCUUUCUUUCUUUCUUUCUUUCUUUCUUUCUUUCUACUUUGAAUGAAACUCAGACUGCUGGUUAGAAUUGUGUUUUGUUUGUGUCUCUCCUGUGCCUGCCUUUCCUUAGAUGUAGGCUGAGAUAAAUGCCAUUAAACAUGACACUUGUUUUCUUCUAGACAACUGCUUUUGACAGAUUUCAUAGGGAUCUCUUAAUGAGUGUUUGUAACGCUGGCUUUUCAAAACAUUUUUUAACAGCCACAUUAGUAACAAUAAUGUAGAAUGAAUGCCUGCUAUUCUGACUAUUGAUUUCUACCAAUAUCUGUUGAUAGACGUGGAAGCAGACAGUCUGUAGUGUUGCACCUCCCCCCCCCAAUAAUUCUGAUUUUUACGGUUGUUAAAUACAGACCAGAUCUUUCCAAACUCUGUGUUGCGACACGUUAGUGUGUCAGCUGUGUAGGUGUGUCAUGUGAACUCUCCCCACUUUCUUCCCAGGCCUGGAAAGGGGUUAGUUUAACCUCCAGUUUGCUAGUAAAACUGAAUUACUGUGUCGUGAAAUGAUCUGUGUAUAAAAAGUGUGUCACGAGCAUGAAAAGUUUGGAAAGCUCUGAUAUAGACAAUUCAGCAUGUUCUUUCCGUUGAGAAUACUGUGAUUCAUCCCUAGGGAUGUAAGCAAGCAUAGUUUAUGUUGCAAUGCAGCUGUUUCCAUUCCCCUGCAGCUCACCUUCCACCAAAACUGACUUCAUUCGUCUUGCUGUCUGCUGCAGCAAAAUUUAUUGCAUAAAUCCUCAUGUUAUUCCACCCCUUUCAUUCAGUGCAAAUGAAGCACUGUGCAAUGUGGGGCGUGUGUAAUCAAUUGUCUUAACAUUUUUGAACUGAAAGGAACUAUCAUGAAUACUGAUUGUGUUCACUGGAUUGAUUUCCUUUUUUUAUAUUAAAUCUUUAUUGGUUUAAAAUACAAAGAGACAAACAUACAAACAUAUAACGAAAGUAAGUAUUUCAGAUUU
This is a non-coding RNA of Podarcis lilfordi (Lilford's wall lizard), 1246 nucleotides long. The record is from the annotation of a GenBank genome assembly. Lineage: Eukaryota; Metazoa; Chordata; Lepidosauria; Squamata; Lacertidae.